CUACGGGACGCUGCAGUGGGGAAUAUAGGACAAUGGGGGCAACCCUGAUCCAGCCAUGCCGCGUGAAUGAAGAAGGCCUUCGGGUUGUAAAGUUCUUUUAAUAGUGAAGAUAAUGACGGUAGCUAUAGAAAAAGUACCGGCUAACUCCGUGCCAGCAGCCGCGGUAAUACGGAGGGUACGAGCGUUGUUCGGAUUUACUGGGCGUAAAGGGUGCGUAGGCGGAUAUUAAGGUCAGAUGUGAAAGCCCAGGGCUCAACCCUGGAACUGCAUUUGAAACCGGAUAUCUAGAGUGUGAUAGAGGAUGAUGGAAUUUCUAGUGUAGCAGUGAAAUGCGUAGAUAUUAGAAGGAACACCAGAGGCGAAGGCGAUCAUCUGGGUCACAACUGACGCUGAGGCACGAAAGUGUGGGUAGCAAACAGGAUUAGAUACCCUUGUAGUC
This 439-nucleotide ribosomal RNA is filed under the name uncultured bacterium. Its description in RNAcentral is "partial 16S ribosomal RNA". It matches the Rfam family "Bacterial small subunit ribosomal RNA", at positions 339 to 795 of the family's 1533-position model. The record is from RNAcentral.